Long non-coding RNA from Hippoglossus stenolepis (Pacific halibut), 223 nucleotides. RefSeq lists it as uncharacterized. The record is from RefSeq and is a predicted model, not a curated record. The transcript is spliced from 4 exons. NCBI's taxonomy places the organism in Eukaryota, Metazoa, Chordata, Actinopteri, Pleuronectiformes, Pleuronectidae.
UGUUCUCUGUGGCUCAGGGAGGAGUGGACCUGCAGCAGAUCCAAACUCCUCAUCCUUUCCUGUGGAAUGUCAAAAAUCUCAGACGCUCUUCAGGUGAAAUAAAAACGUACGCGGUGCAGAGCCACUACGGCAUUCCACAUUCUGAGUUGGCAAAACUCCACCAGCUGUCCAUGCAGCAGCAGGGCCUCGCCCCCAUCAGCCAAUCAGCUGCUCAAGUUCUGCC